RNAcentral lists this long non-coding RNA (476 nucleotides) under Ananas comosus (pineapple). RNAcentral describes it as "long non-coding RNA (ACOM_LNC033768)". The record is from RNAcentral. Lineage: Eukaryota; Viridiplantae; Streptophyta; Magnoliopsida; Poales; Bromeliaceae.
UUUAAAAAAAAGAAAAAAAAGGUUAAGGGGCAAAAGUUUCUAAAGGGUGUUUGGUUUGAUAUAAUUAUAUAUACAGCAUACUUAUCUACGCAUGUAGUUGGAGAUAUAAUAGUUAUAACUAUAAAUAUUUUGUUUUGAUGGAUGCAAUAGAAAGUACUAUAAUUAUAUAUAAUUUGUUUAGUUGCGUGUAGUUGAAAAAGAGCUUUGGUAAAAUUUUAUCACUUUAUAUAUAUAUUUUGUGGUGAGAUUUUCUAUGAUAUUUAAGAAAAUUUUAGUUUUUGUUUAAAAAGUAAUUCUUAAUGUAAGCUUUACCUUUUGUUUAAAAUUAUUCUCCUCAGUUUUGUAGCUAAAGUUACGGUCAACGUAAAAUUAGUUUGAACUACUGCAGUUGAACUUCUUCCAGCAAUUCUAACCGCUACAGUUGAAUUAAAAUGUGUUGAUCCAAAUGUCGAAUCUGAAUUUGUAUAUAAUUAUAA